GAGGAAAAGAAACCAACAGGGAUUGCCUCAGUAACGGCGAGUGAAGCGGCAAAAGCUCAAAUUUGGAAUCCUUCGGGAGUUGUAAUUUGAAGGUUUCGGGCCUGGAGAUUGCGGCGCGCCCAAGUCCAUUGGAACAUGGCGCCUGGGAGGGUGAGAGCCCCGUCCGGCGCGGCGCAGUCUUCUUCUACGGCCCGGCUCCGACGAGUCGAGUUGUUUGGGAAUGCAGCUCAAAGUGGGUGGUAAAUUCCAUCUAAAGCUAAAUAUUGGCGAGAGACCGAUAGCGAACAAGUACAGUGAUGGAAAGAUGAAAAGCACUUUGAAAAGAGAGUGAAACAGUACGUGAAAUUGUUGAAAGGGAAGGGCUUGCAAGCAGACACGGUUUCGGCCGGGCCAGCAUCGGUUUGUCGGGGUGGAUAAGACCGCGGGAAUGUGGCGCGCUUUUCUUUUGAGGGCGCGUGUUUAUAGCCCGCCGGAGAUACACCCAUGGUAGACCGAGGCCUGCGGAUUCUUGUAAUUCAAGGAUGCUGGCGUAAUGGUUGCAAGUCGCCCGUCUUGA
RNAcentral lists this ribosomal RNA (556 nucleotides) under [Candida] sp. Da7-1. RNAcentral describes it as "eukaryotic LSU rRNA". It matches the Rfam family "Eukaryotic large subunit ribosomal RNA", at positions 53 to 657 of the family's 3401-position model. Lineage: Eukaryota; Fungi; Ascomycota; Saccharomycetes; Saccharomycetales. The record is from RNAcentral.